UGGUUCUGGCAUCGAUGAAGAACGCAGCGAAAUGCGAUAAGUAAUGUGAAUUGCAGAAUUCAGCGAAUCAUCGAAUCUUUGAACGCACAUUGCGCCCGCCAGUAUUCUGGCGGGCAUGCCUGUUCGAGCGUCAUUUCAACCCCCAAGCCCCGCUUGGUGUUGGGGACCUACGCGGCCGCCGCCGUAGGCCCCGAAAAUCAGUGGCAGGCCCGCCAGGGACCCGAGCGUAGUACAAUAACCCUCGCUCGCGGCUCCCGGGUGCGCCCCGCCGUAAAACGCGUUAAGCACUUCCAAAAGGUUGACCUCGGAUCAGGUAGGAAUACCCGCUGA
This 330-nucleotide unclassified non-coding RNA is filed under the name uncultured fungus. Its description in RNAcentral is "partial contains 5.8S ribosomal RNA and internal transcribed spacer 2". The stretch from base 1 to 133 matches the Rfam family "5.8S ribosomal RNA", at positions 22 to 154 of the family's 154-position model. The record is from RNAcentral. Lineage: Eukaryota; Fungi.